RNAcentral lists this ribosomal RNA (211 nucleotides) under uncultured bacterium. RNAcentral's name for it is "partial 16S ribosomal RNA". The stretch from base 1 to 179 matches the Rfam family "Bacterial small subunit ribosomal RNA", at positions 328 to 537 of the family's 1533-position model. The record is from RNAcentral.
ACGCUCGACACCUACUGGAGGCAGCAGUGGGGAAUAUUGCACAAUGGGGGAAACCCUGAUGCAGCGACGCCGCGUGGAGGAAGAAGGUCUUCGGAUUGUAAACUCCUGUUGUUGGGGAAAAAGAGGAUGGUACCCAACAAGGAAGUGACGGCUAACUACGUGCCAUCACGCCGGUACGGUAAUCUGGACGGGCCGGGUCGUGGACGAAGGC